RNAcentral lists this ribosomal RNA (387 nucleotides) under Syndiniales sp. RNAcentral describes it as "partial small subunit ribosomal RNA". It matches the Rfam family "Eukaryotic small subunit ribosomal RNA", at positions 582 to 975 of the family's 1831-position model. Lineage: Eukaryota; Dinophyceae; Syndiniales. The record is from RNAcentral.
AUUCCAGCUCCAAUAGCGUAUAUUAAAGUUGUUGCGGUUAAUAAGCUCGUAGUUGGAUUUCUGUUGAGAGCAGCCGGUCCACCUUUUGGGUGAGUAUCUGGAUUGAUCUCGGCAUCCUCUCGAAAAACGUUUCUGCGCUUGAUUGCGGUACGGGGUUCGAGACUUUUACUUUGAGGUUAUAAGAGUGUUCACGGCAGGCAUACGCCUUGAAUAUAUUAGCAUGGAAUAAUACUAUAGGAUUUCGGUUCUAUUUUGUUGGUUUCUAGAGCUGGAAUAAUGAUUAAUAGGGACAAUUGGGGGCAUUCGUAUUGACGAGUCAGAGGUGAAAUUCUUGGAUUUCGUCACGACGAACUACUGCGAAAGCAUUUGCCAAGGAUGUUUUCAUUA